UACGAACCGUGCGAACGUUGUUCGGAAUCACUGGGCUUAAAGGGCGCGUAGGCGGUCUGUCAAGUCAGGGGUGAAAUCUGUCGGCUCAACCGGAAAACUGCCUUUGAUACUGAGGAUCUUGAGUUCGGGAGAGGUGAGUGGAACUGCGAGUGUAGAGGUGAAAUUCGUAGAUAUUCGCAAGAACACCAGUGGCGAAGCCGGCUCACUGGCCCGAUACUGACGCUGAGGCACGAAAGCGUGGGGAGCAAACAGG
RNAcentral lists this ribosomal RNA (253 nucleotides) under uncultured bacterium. Its description in RNAcentral is "partial 16S ribosomal RNA". It matches the Rfam family "Bacterial small subunit ribosomal RNA", at positions 524 to 776 of the family's 1533-position model. The record is from RNAcentral.